This 460-nucleotide ribosomal RNA is filed under the name Pseudomonas sp. oral taxon D11. RNAcentral's name for it is "bacterial SSU rRNA". It matches the Rfam family "Bacterial small subunit ribosomal RNA", at positions 30 to 484 of the family's 1533-position model. The record is from RNAcentral. Lineage: Bacteria; Pseudomonadati; Pseudomonadota; Gammaproteobacteria; Pseudomonadales; Pseudomonadaceae.
AUUGAACGCUGGCGGCAGGCCUAACACAUGCAAGUCGAGCGGUAGAGAGAAGCUUGCUUCUCUUGAGAGCGGCGGACGGGUGAGUAAUGCCUAGGAAUCUGCCUGGUAGUGGGGGAUAACGUUCGGAAACGGACGCUAAUACCGCAUACGUCCUACGGGAGAAAGCAGGGGACCUUCGGGCCUUGCGCUAUCAGAUGAGCCUAGGUCGGAUUAGCUAGUUGGUGAGGUAAUGGCUCACCAAGGCGACGAUCCGUAACUGGUCUGAGGGGAUGAUCAGUCACACUGGAACUGAGACACGGUCCAGACUCCUACGGGAGGCAGCAGUGGGGAAUAUUGGACAAUGGGCGAAAGCCUGAUCCAGCCAUGCCGCGUGUGUGAAGAAGGUCUUCGGAUUGUAAAGCACUUUAAGUUGGGAGGAAGGGCAGUAAAUUAAUACUUUGCUGUUUUGACGUACCGACAG